GAUCACACCAGUGACAUGAGAGUUGCUCUGGUAGCAGUGGAAAUGCUACUUGUAAAACCAUCCUUAGCUCCAGGAUCGUAGAGCUAUCACUGAGACAAUUGCGCAGUGAGUGACAAGAGAGAUAAGCGGAGAAUGUGAGCCAUCUAUGAGACAGCUAAACUGGGCUGACCAUGUGCAAAGGGAAAUAUUGCAGGAUCCUCAGGCAAUCACUCAAAGACACACAGGAGCAAUACCAGGAGUAAAGCAAGCUGAGAGCCGGAACAAUAUAAGAAAAGAGCCUACCAUGUGCCAGAGGACAACUUCAAUAAAAAACACCAGGUCAGCGGAUAAGACCAUGUCACUCACAGGUUUGUGACUUGAGGCCUGAGCACCAAUGAUCCACUCCACAUCAGUGGAGAAUGUUGGAAAGUAAGGACGCUGUGGACAUUUUCUGAAGUUGGAGAAAUGGAAUGGUGGAGAAGCCAGUAUUGGGGUACCAUGAGUGGAGCAGAGUUGACUACAAAUCUCAAUAAAGCUUUUCAACUGUAUACCUAACUGCAAAGUCAUUUACU
This 551-nucleotide long non-coding RNA is filed under the name Homo sapiens (human). Its description in RNAcentral is "HSALNT0378127". Lineage: Eukaryota; Metazoa; Chordata; Mammalia; Primates; Hominidae. The record is from RNAcentral.